RNAcentral lists this unclassified non-coding RNA (377 nucleotides) under uncultured Gammaproteobacteria bacterium. RNAcentral describes it as "contains 16S-23S intergenic spacer region". The record is from RNAcentral. Lineage: Bacteria; Pseudomonadati; Pseudomonadota; Gammaproteobacteria.
UCCGGUUUGUCACCGGCAGUCUCAUUAGAGUGCCCAACUAAAUGUAGCAACUAAUGACAAGGGUUGCGCUCGUUGCGGGACUUAACCCAACAUCUCACGACACGAGCUGACGACAGCCAUGCAGCACCUGUGUUACGGUUCUCUUUCGAGCACUCUUCCAUCUCUGGAAGAUUCCGUACAAGUCAAGGGUAGGUAAGGUUUUUCGCGUUGCAUCGAAUUAAUCCACAUAAUCCACCGCUUGUGCGGGUCCCCGUCAAUUCCUUUGAGUUUUAAUCUUGCGACCGUACUCCCCAGGCGGUCAACUUCACGCGUUAGCUUCGUUACCAAGGGAAUCAAUCCCCCGACAACCAGUUGACAUAGUUUAGGGCGUGGACUAC